Molecule: ribosomal RNA, 322 nt
Filed under: uncultured Allantion
Lineage: Eukaryota; Cercozoa; Glissomonadida
Description: bacterial SSU rRNA
Rfam family: Eukaryotic small subunit ribosomal RNA (bases 112-322)
Source: RNAcentral
GAUUUCUGACUUGCUGCGCCUGUCCCGCUACGGCAACGUAUGUGAGUGACGGGGUGUACGAGUCAUCCUUCGAUUUCGGUGGUUGAUCCUUUAUUGGGUUAAUUAUCUGGGUCGAUCGUUUACUUUGAAAAAAUUAGAGUGUUUCAAGCAGGCUUAAUGCUGUGAAUACAUUAGCAUGGAAUAAUGAGUUAGGACUUCGGUUCUAUUUUGUUGGUUUCUAGGGCUGAAGUAAUGAUUGAUAGGGAUAGUUGGGGGUGCUAGUAUUCAGUGGCCAGAGGUGAAAUUCUUGGAUUCCCUGAAGACUAACUUAUGCGAAAGCAUU